RNAcentral lists this ribosomal RNA (253 nucleotides) under uncultured bacterium. RNAcentral's name for it is "partial 16S ribosomal RNA". It matches the Rfam family "Bacterial small subunit ribosomal RNA", at positions 524 to 776 of the family's 1533-position model. The record is from RNAcentral.
UACGUAUGGUGCAAGCGUUAUCCGGAAUGACUGGGUGUAAAGGGAGCGUAGACGGUUGUUCAAGUCUGAUGUGAAGGCCCUCGGCUUAACUGGGGGAGUGCAUUGGAAACUGAAGGACUAGAGUAUCGGAGAGGCAAGUGGAAUUCCUAGUGUAGCGGUGAAAUGCGUAGAUAUUAGGAGGAACACCAGUGGCGAAGGCGGCUUGCUGGACGAAAACUGACGUUGAGGCUCGAAAGCGUGGGGAGCGAACAGG